This 72-nucleotide transfer RNA is filed under the name Bovichtus angustifrons. RNAcentral's name for it is "tRNA-Thr". It matches the Rfam family "tRNA". From Rfam's summary of the family: Transfer RNA (tRNA) molecules are approximately 80 nucleotides in length. Their secondary structure includes four short double-helical elements and three loops (D, anti-codon, and T loops). Further hydrogen bonds mediate the characteristic L-shaped molecular structure. tRNAs have two regions of fundamental functional importance: the anti-codon, which is responsible for specific mRNA codon recognition, and the 3' end, to which the tRNAs corresponding amino acid is attached (by aminoacyl-tRNA synthetases). tRNAs cope with the degeneracy of the genetic code in two manners: having more than one tRNA (with a specific anti-codon) for a particular amino acid; and 'wobble' base-pairing, i.e. permitting non-standard base-pairing at the 3rd anti-codon position. The record is from RNAcentral. Lineage: Eukaryota; Metazoa; Chordata; Actinopteri; Perciformes; Bovichtidae.
GCACCAGUAGCUCAGUUUCAGAGCACCGGUCUUGUAAACCGAAGGUCGGAGGUUAAAAUCCUCCCUUUUGCU